Molecule: ribosomal RNA, 497 nt
Filed under: uncultured bacterium
Lineage: Bacteria
Description: partial 16S ribosomal RNA
Rfam family: Bacterial small subunit ribosomal RNA
Source: RNAcentral
GAUGAACGCUGGCGGCGUGCCUAAUACAUGCAAGUCGAGCGAACAGACGAGGAGCUUGCUCCUCUGACGUUAGCGGCGGACGGGUGAGUAACACGUGGAUAACCUACCUAUAAGACUGGGAUAACUUCGGGAAACCGGAGCUAAUACCGGAUAAUAUAUUGAACCGCAUGGUUCAAUAGUGAAAGACGGUUUUGCUGUCACUUAUAGAUGGAUCCGCGCCGCAUUAGCUAGUUGGUAAGGUAACGGCUUACCAAGGCGACGAUGCGUAGCCGACCUGAGAGGGUGAUCGGCCACACUGGAACUGAGACACGGUCCAGACUCCUACGGGAGGCAGCAGUGGGGAAUCUUCCGCAAUGGGCGAAAGCUUGACGGAGCAACGCCGCGUGGGUGAUGAAGGUCUUCGGGUCGUAAAGCUCUGUUAUUAGGGAAGAACAAAUGUGUAAGUAACUAUGCACGUCUUGACGGUACCUAAUCAGAAAGCCACGGCUAACUACGUG